UUCUUCUUCCUGAUCGUUUGA
This 21-nucleotide non-coding RNA is filed under the name Caenorhabditis elegans. The record is from RNAcentral. Lineage: Eukaryota; Metazoa; Nematoda; Chromadorea; Rhabditida; Rhabditidae.